GCACUUACCCCAUCAGCAUGGUUCCCACCACCGAAGACCCCGACUGCUGCACUGCAGUUUGCAUAAUUCUGUGACAUUAGGUCAGGUGAAAUACUGUGAGGCUCAUUUAGUAAUUACAUAACUGAGAUUGACUUCUACGAGAUUCCAUUCACAUGGGUCAUGCACAGCAUGCAGCAAGAGUUGCGAACAUGAAGAACAUUCGCUUGUGGUCACCACAAGCAAACAAUAUAUGAACAAAAAUUGCUUGAGCACUGCACAAGUCAAGCUUAUAGGCAAUGACUGUACAUUAAUUUGUAUGUCUAAUAUACGUUAACUGAAUAUUAACAUCAAGAUAGCUAGCUACGACCGCCCCAUUUGAUCAAUUCAUAACCAGAGUAAUAGACUUACACUCUAGUAGUCUAUGAUUCUAUAUGCAUGGCAUCAAGGUGAACAACGGUCCACUAACCUUGAGUAAAGUAACAACAACACAAUCCAUUCGAAGCCACCAUUAAGAAAGCAUCCUUAGAUGUUCCAGUAAUCAUUCCUAUGCAGUUACUCAUUACUGCCAAUACAAAAUUGACCAUAAACAUGAGCCAGUAAUAUGGUCAAUAAGUCACCAGAUAAACAAUAAGUCCUUGGGGGAAAAGUUCUUCAGCAUUGUCAAUCUAGUUGAUGGGUAAGAGAUUUGAUCAAGUUUUCAAUUCUAGAAGCAGACCACAAAACCAUACCUGAUCCAAAAACAGUGAAAGAGUUUAAAUUGCUGCCUUGGAGUUGUGGCAAUUCACAGCCAACCUACGACCAAGAAAAAUGGACUACAAAUAUACUCACCUACACAAUAGCACAACAGGGGAACCGGCGGAAUAACCUUUGACGUGUGAUCUAGUUGCGAACAUGCAGAAUAUUCGCUUGUGGUCACCACAAGCAAACAAUAUCUGAACAAAAAUUGCUUGAGCACUGCACAAGUCAAGCUUAUAGGCAAUGACUGUACAUAAAAAUAUCAUAGUUUUACACUCCAAGUCUCCAGCCAUGGAACCAAUACUGCAGAGUUUGACUCUAACCACACAUGAAAAGGGCUAGUUUUCCUCGUUCUUCAGCCUCAAGCCAUGUUUUGGUAGGCACCGGUAAUAACCGAGCCUUACAUCUCCAUGGUAAAACUGAUAAGACACACCAAGCAAGGAACGACAGACAUACAUAGCAGAGAUUCUUACGGUACAAGGACAGAAUUUACACCCCCUUGUAAAUAACAUGCUCAGUUCAAAAAUAUGGUUAGGCAGAUCAACCUAGUCCCUGCUCUCUAGGUUUAAGAGGUUCCACAAUUUCUCCAAAAACAGCACAUCCAUAAGCUUCAAACUCGUGGUGGAUCUCCAUGGUAUUGGGUCACUGAACUCUGUCCUCUCCCCUCCUCCUCCUAUUUCUCUCCUUGGUCUCCCUCUAACGCGCUCCCGAGACGGCCUCCGCCUCCCAA
Molecule: long non-coding RNA, 1444 nt
Filed under: Brachypodium distachyon (stiff brome)
Lineage: Eukaryota; Viridiplantae; Streptophyta; Magnoliopsida; Poales; Poaceae
Description: long non-coding RNA (BDIS_LNC005443)
Source: RNAcentral